GUUCCCAGUGGAUCUGUCCUUCCGGAGACACCCAGGAAGAUGAUUUCCAACCCUUAACUUUCUCCACCUGUCCCACCCCAGCACCUACCAUCAAUCUGCUGCCCCACCUCUCUGAAAGCCAGCUUAGUGCUGUCCUUCUCAGCUGCAAUUCUCCUGGGAGAACCAAGCCUCCUUCCUGGGGGAGGCUGUGAGGGAGACCGAGCCAUCCGAGAAGAAUCCUGGGGCCCCAAAGAGUAACUAAUGGCCUACAGCUGUUGGCUGUAAGGAAAACCCAUCAGGACUGAUGGAGACUUUGCCAGGUUUGUGCCUGUGUGGCCCACCGGCAGCUACUGCAAGUUUAAUUAUUAGCAACAGUUGGGAAGUGUCUUCUCUCCCACCCACAGCCUCCAUAUAAAUAUUUCUUUCUACCAUCUGUCACACUGACUGAAGUCUCCGUACUCAGAUUUUGACAAUGGUCAGGUUUUCAAGAGCUUCCUACUAAAAAUGUAAAUGUGGCAGGGAGAUCAUCAAACUGGACUAUGAAUGCUAUGGCCAUGGAAAGGGGCUGCUUCGGGGGAUUGGUAACUGACAAGCAUGUAGAUAAAUAUGAUAAGAAACUCCUUGGUAAUUUUCCUAAUGACAGUGGGAAACAUUUUUAUAUACAAAAGCAGAAUUAACUUUAAAGUUAAUUAGAAAGUUGAACAGCCCCAGAAAUUAUGCUUUUAAAUAGCAGUCCAAUUUAAAUAAUGCCCCAAAGGCCAAAGUUUUUUUAAAAAAUAAUUGUACAAAUUCUUGUUAAGUUAAACUAUCUAAGCUUUGCUGUAAUACUGAUUUCUCUUCAAUAUGUGAUGGUACAAGAACAAGGUUAAAUGAAGGGGUAGUAUUAAAAAGCAGAGACAUUACUUUGCCGACAAAGGUCUGUCUAGUCAAAGCUAUGUUUUUUGCAGUAAUCAUGUAUGGAUGUGAGAGUUGGACUAUAAAGAAAGCUGAGCACUGAAGAAUUGAUGCUUUUGAACUCUGAUGUUGGAGAAGACUCUUGAGAGUCCCUAAAGGACUCUCAAGUACAUCCUAAAGGAAAUCAGUCCUGAAUGUUCACUGGAAAGACUGAUGCUGAAGCUGAAUACUUUGGCCACCUGAUGCAAGAACUGACUCAUUGGAAAAGACCAUGAUGCUGGGAAAGAUUGAAGGCAGGAAGAGAAGGAGAUGACAGAGGAUGAGAUGGUUGGAUGGCAUCACCAACUCGAUGGACAUGAGUUUGAGCAAGCUUCGGGAGUUGAUGAUGGACAGACAUCUCACCUGUGACCUGUAACCUAUGACUUCUGACCAUCGAACUGUGAUCCUUGAAACUGCAAGUGAAAGUGCAAGUCGCUCAGUUGUGUCCGACUCUUUGUGACCCCAUGGAAGAGGAAAAGACCCCAUGCUGCUGCCAAGUCACUUCAGUUGUGUCCGACUCUGUGCGACCCCAUAGACGGCAGCCCACCGGGCUCCCCCAUCCCUGGGAUUCUCCAAGCAAGAACACUGGAGUGGGUUGCCAUUUCCUUCUCCAAUGCAUGAAAGUGAAAAGUGAAGCACAGAUCUCAAUAAAGGCAGAUAGAGGCCGGAUUACAGAACCCUUAGAGUGAGCAUGGGGCCCUUAGAAAUGCUAAAUCAGUGGCUGGACACCAGAAUGUUGAAGGGUCAAAAUCUGAAGCCCAUCUUUAAGGGUGCCAGGUGUACAUGGCCUCCACAGAUUCUUACAACGGUACAUGUGGGGCGUAAAACAAAUACAACACUGGAAAUCAAUUCUAUCCCAAUGUAAGAUAAAAAUCAAGUUGAAAGGCAGAAAAAGGGGGAAUGAAGAAACGCUGCUGCUUGUGGCUCUUUCCCCUAAGAACAAUUUUAAAACCUGAGUUGAUGGGCACUUCGUACUCAUAAGGCCUGUGGGACUGUAAAAGACACCUGUCCUCAAGAGAUGUCCUAGGGUAAACCAUCGGGGAAAAUUCAAAACAGAGCUGACUUUUAAGAAGCUGGCUUCAAGAAGUAAAUUGUACUCACACUGUAUAAGAUUUUUUUAAAAAACACACGGAAAGACACUCCACUAACUAUUAAAUCAAUGCAAAUCAAAACUACAAUGAGUUAUCCCUUCAGACAGGUUAAAUUGGCCAUCAUCGCAAAGAUCUACAAAGAAUAAAUUCUGCAGACAGCAUAAAGAAAAGGGAAUCUUCCUGUACUUCUGGUGGGGUUGUAAAUGGGUCUAGCCACUAUGGAAAACAGUAGGCAGGUUCCCUAAUAAACUAACAUAGAGGUAUCAUGAUCAGCAAUCCCACUCCUGGGCUUAGAUCUGGAGAAAAUCGUAAUUCAAAAUGACACAUGCAUCCCUCUUUUCAGGGAAGUAUCAUUUAUAAGAGCCAAGACAUAGAAUCAACCAAAAAUGAAAGUGAAAGUCUCUCAGUCAGUCAUGUCUGACUCUGUGACCCCAUGGACUAUACAGUCCAUGGAAUUCUCCACGCCAGAAUACUGGAGUGAAUAGCCAUUCCCUUCUCCAGGGGAUCUUCCCAACCCAGGAUUGAACCCAGGUCUCCCAUGUUGCAAGAGGAGUCUUUACCAGCUGAGCCACAAGGGAAGCCCAAGAAUACUGGAGUGGGUAGCCUAUCCCUUCUCCAGCGGAUCUUCCCGACCCAGGAAUCGAACUGGGGUCUCCUGCAUUGCAUGCAGAUUUUUUUACCAACUGAAUUAUCAGGGAAACCGUAAAAUGUCCUUCAACAGAAAAAGGAAGUCCAAGUGGUACAUCUAUACACUGGAAUACUGCUAAGUCACUUCAGUUGUAUCCGACUCUGUGCGACCCCAUAGACGGCAGCCCACCAGGUUCCCCCGUCCGUGGGAUUCUCCAGGCAAGAGUACUGGAAUCGGUUGCCGUUUCCUUCUCCAGUGCAUGAAAGUGAAAAGUGAAAGUGAAGUCGCUCAGUUGUGUCCGACCCUCAGCGUCCCCAUGGACUGAAGCCUUCCAGGCUCCUCCAUCCAUGGGAUUUUCCAGGCAAGAGUACUGGAGUGGGGUGCCAUUGCCUUCUCCAAUACACUGGAAUACUACUUAGCCACAAAACAGAAUGAAAUAGUGCCAUUGGCAGCAGCAUGGGUUGACCAAGAGAUUAUUAUACUAAGUCAGAGAGAGAAAGACAAAUGUAAGAUAUCACUUACUGAUGGAAUCUGUAAAUUCAUACUGCUGCUGCUGCUGCUAAGUCGUUUCCGUCGUGUCCGACUCUUCUUGACCCCAUGGACUGCAGCCUACCAGGCUCCUCUGCCCAUGGGAUUUUCCAGGCAAGAGUACUGGAGUGGGGUGCCAUUGCCUUCUCCAUAAAUUCAUACAAGUGAACUAAUUUACAAAACAGAAACAGACUCACGGAUUUAGAAAAUCAACUUAUGAUUACCAAAAAAAUUAGUUGGGGGAUGAAUUAAGAGUUUGGGUUUGACAUAUAUACACUGCUACUGCUACUGUUAAGUCGCUUCAGUAGUGUCCGACUCUGUGCAACCCCAGAGACCGCAGCCCACCAGGCUCCCCCGACCCUGGGAUUCUCCAGGCAAGAAUACUGGAGUGGGUUGCCAUUUCCUUCUCCAAUGCGUGAAAGUGAAAAGUGAAAGUGAAGUCGCUCAGUCGUGUCGGACUCCUAGCGACCCCAUGGACUGCAGCCUACCAGGCUCCUCCGUCCAUGGGAUUUUCCAGGCAAGAGUACUGGAGUGGGGUGCCAUUGCCUUCUCGGGAAAUCAACCCUACUCCAGUAUAAAAUAACAAUUAAAUUACCGGAAAAGUGGUGGUUGGGGGGGGCAUGAAGAAAUGCUACCACCUUGUGGCCAUUUUCCAAAACAACAGCUUUAAAACCUGCACUCAUGGGCACUUCAUAUUCACUAAGUCUGCCUGGCUGUAACUGAAAAACACCUACCCUCGGGAAAUGUCCCAGACAGCUCAUCGAAAAGAGUUCAUAAUAGCACAGACGGUCAAGGAGCCAAUUUCAAGAGGUAAGUUUAACUCACACCGUUUUGAAAAAAAUCACAUGAAAAGAUGUCAACAUCGCUAAAUAUGAGAGAAAUGAGUAUCAAAACUUCAACAAGGUAUCACCUCACACCAGUCAGAAUGGCCAUAGACAGAAACUAGAAACUGUACAAGCAAUAAAUGCUGGAG
Bos taurus (domestic cattle) is the source of this 4132-nucleotide long non-coding RNA. The record is from Ensembl. NCBI's taxonomy places the organism in Eukaryota, Metazoa, Chordata, Mammalia, Artiodactyla, Bovidae.